UCAAGACGGGGAACUCUCAGGUCUUUCUCCAGCACCACGUCUGCCUGCACGCGGCCAUGUUUCCCGCCAUGAUGACAAUGGACUAGGCCUCAACUGCUUUCUUUUUUCCCUGACCCGGGAGAGAACAGAGGAGCCCCUGAGGGAGCACGGGUGUGCAAGCCACAGGACAUCUGAGGAGAGCACCUUCCUGAGCACUGGCACAGGGGAGUGCGGCUCUGGGCCCAGGCCUGAGUGCUGACCUUCAGGUGGCUGGGAGCCCGGGGAGGCCCCCCAAAGGGGCUGCGGUUUGAAUGAAGACAGCAAUUGUGCAAGAAUGGACAGCCUUGCCCCAGCUGUGUCUCCUGGCCUGAGUCAUGCUGAAAGCAAGGGGAGAGGAGAACCCUGAAGCCCUCCGACACUCAGUGGCCAAGGCUUCCAGUGUGACGUGGUGAAGUCAUGACCGAUGAGCUCAGCAGAGGCACCUGGGGACACGGAAAAUGGAGGCAACCCUGCAUCUUUCUCAUUCCGAACCCAGUGGUGACCAGAAGAGGUGCCUCGAGGCAGUUCCUGUUGUCUGAUUCUGUCUCAGCCUGCCUGCCUGGCAGCCUGUCCCACCCAGACUUCAAGAGCCGGCAGCCAAGCACACUGAGGUAUUCCGGGAGGUUGGCAGAACCGGAUCCUGGGAGAGGAAGAGAGCCACCAAUCUCAGUCUGGAGUCCAUCUCAU
Long non-coding RNA from Meriones unguiculatus (Mongolian gerbil), 705 nucleotides. RefSeq lists it as uncharacterized. The record is from RefSeq and is a predicted model, not a curated record. The transcript is spliced from 3 exons. Lineage: Eukaryota; Metazoa; Chordata; Mammalia; Rodentia; Muridae.